RNAcentral lists this ribosomal RNA (914 nucleotides) under uncultured bacterium. RNAcentral's name for it is "bacterial SSU rRNA". It matches the Rfam family "Bacterial small subunit ribosomal RNA", at positions 335 to 1235 of the family's 1533-position model. The record is from RNAcentral.
ACUCCUACGGGAGGCAGCAGUAGGGAAUUUUGCGCAAUGGACGAAAGUCUGACGCAGCAACUCCGCGUGAGGGAUGAAUGUCUUCGGAUUGUAAACCUCUGUCGAGUGGGAAGAAAAAGCUUAGUGCUAAUAUCAUUAAGCAUUGACGGUACCAUUCGAGGAAGCUCCGGCUAACUACGUGCCAGCAGCCGCGGUAAUACGUAGGGAGCUAGCGUUGUUCGGAAUCACUGGGCGUAAAGAGAGCGUAGGCGGGAAAGUAAGUUAGAAGUGAAAUGUAUCGGCUGAACCGGUAAUCUGCUUUUAAUACUGCUUUUCUUGAGUAUUGGAGAGGUAGAUGGAAUUCCAGGUGUAGCGGUGGAAUGCGUAGAUAUCUGGAAGAACACCAGUUGCGAAGGCGGUCUACUGGCCAAAUACUGACGCUGAGGCUCGAAAGCUAGGGGAGCGAACAGGAUUAGAUACCCUGGUAGUCCUAGCCGUAAACGAUGGACACUAGAUGCUGGGAACGUUUUUGUUUUCAGUGUCGUAGCUAACGCGUUAAGUGUCCCGCCUGGGGAGUACGCUCGCAAGGGUGAAACUCAAAGGAAUUGACGGGGGCCCGCACAAGCGGUGGAGCAUGUGCUUUAAUUCGAUGCAACGCGAAGAACCUUACCUGGUCUUGACAUGGGAGUGAAAGUCACUAGAGAUAGAGACCUUUCCUUUUGGAACACUCUACACAGGUGCUGCAUGGUUGUCGUCAGCUCGUGUCGUGAGAUGUUGGGUUAAGUCCCGCAACGAGCGCAACCCCUAUCCUUAGUUGCCAUCAGGUAAUGCUGGGAACUCUNGGGAGACUGCCUGGNNUAACCAGGAGGAAGGNGGAGAUGANGUCAAAUCCUCAUGGCCCUUACGACCAGGGCUAGACNCGUGCUACAAUGGGG